GGUUCAGUGGUGUAGUUGGUUAUCACGUCUGUCUCACAUCGUUGUGUUCACAGGAGGUCUCCGGUUCGAACCCGGACUGAACCA
This 84-nucleotide transfer RNA is filed under the name Laetiporus sulphureus 93-53. It matches the Rfam family "tRNA". From Rfam's summary of the family: Transfer RNA (tRNA) molecules are approximately 80 nucleotides in length. Their secondary structure includes four short double-helical elements and three loops (D, anti-codon, and T loops). Further hydrogen bonds mediate the characteristic L-shaped molecular structure. tRNAs have two regions of fundamental functional importance: the anti-codon, which is responsible for specific mRNA codon recognition, and the 3' end, to which the tRNAs corresponding amino acid is attached (by aminoacyl-tRNA synthetases). tRNAs cope with the degeneracy of the genetic code in two manners: having more than one tRNA (with a specific anti-codon) for a particular amino acid; and 'wobble' base-pairing, i.e. permitting non-standard base-pairing at the 3rd anti-codon position. Lineage: Eukaryota; Fungi; Basidiomycota; Agaricomycetes; Polyporales; Laetiporaceae. The record is from Rfam by way of RNAcentral.